UACGAAGGGUGCAACCGUUGCUCGGAAUCAUUGGGCGUAAAGCGCACGUAGGCGGCUCCGCAAGUCGGAUGUGAAAUCCCUCGGCUCAACCGAGGACGUGCAUCCGAAACUGCAGAGCUUGAGUAUGGAAGAGGGUCGCGGAAUCCCCGGUGUAGAGGUGAAAUUCGUAGAUAUCGGGGGGAACACCAGUGGCGAAGGCGGCGACCUGGGCCAAUACUGACGCUGAGGUGCGAAAGCGUGGGGAGCAAACAGG
This 253-nucleotide ribosomal RNA is filed under the name uncultured bacterium. RNAcentral describes it as "partial 16S ribosomal RNA". It matches the Rfam family "Bacterial small subunit ribosomal RNA", at positions 524 to 776 of the family's 1533-position model. The record is from RNAcentral.